This 517-nucleotide ribosomal RNA is filed under the name uncultured bacterium. RNAcentral's name for it is "bacterial SSU rRNA". It matches the Rfam family "Bacterial small subunit ribosomal RNA", at positions 347 to 856 of the family's 1533-position model. The record is from RNAcentral.
GGCAGCAGUGGGGAAUUUUGGACAAUGGGGGCAACCCUGAUCCAGCCAUGCCGCGUGAGUGAAGAAGGCCUUCGGGUUGUAAAGCUCUUUUGGCGGGGAAGAAAUGGCAACGGCUAAUAUCCGUGGUUGAUGACGGUACCCGCAUAAGAAGCACCGGGUAAAUAUGUGCCAGCAGCCGCGGUAAUAUGUAGGGGGCGAGCGUUUUUUUGAAUUAUUGGGGGUAAAGAGUGCGCAGGCGGUUUUGUAAGACUGAGGUGAAAUCUCCGGGCUCUACCUUGGAAAUGCGUUUGUGACUGCGAGGCUAGAGUACGGCAGAGGGGGGUAGAAUUUCCCGUGUAGCAGUGAAAUGUGUAGAGAUGUGGAGGAAAACCGAUGGCGAAGGCAGCCCCCUGGGUUAGUACUGACGCUCAUGCACGAAAGCGUGGGGAGCAAACACGAUUAGAUACCCCGGUAGUCCACGCCCUAAAAGAUGUCAAUUAGGUGUGGAAGGGUUAAACCUUUCAGUACCGCAGCUAAC